RNAcentral lists this ribosomal RNA (112 nucleotides) under Castor canadensis (American beaver). The record is from RNAcentral. Lineage: Eukaryota; Metazoa; Chordata; Mammalia; Rodentia; Castoridae.
UCAAAAUGACAGAUCUUCAUGAUAAGCCCUAUCCAGUCUGAUCUUGGAAGCUAAGCAGGGUUGGGCCUGGGUAGUACUUUGACAGGAGAAAGAGAAAGUGGCUUAGUAGGAA